This is a small nuclear RNA of Meriones unguiculatus (Mongolian gerbil), 107 nucleotides long. The record is from Ensembl. NCBI's taxonomy places the organism in Eukaryota, Metazoa, Chordata, Mammalia, Rodentia, Muridae.
GUGCCUGCUUCAGCAGCACAUACACUAAAAUCGGAAUGACACAGAGAAGAUUAGCAUGGCCCCUGUAUAAGAAUGACAUGCAAAUCCGUGAAGCAUUCCUUAUUUUU